GGACGCCGGCGGAGAGGGUCUCCCUGCAUCUGUUGCUGCUGUGACGGCGGCCGCCUAGUCUCUCGGGCUGCGAGAACACCAGGUCCAAGGCUUUGGGUUGGGAAGGAAAAAAGAAGGUCUCUGACUUUCUUCAUGAAAGAGGAAACAGUGAUAACCAUGGAAAUCGUGCUCCACUGAAGUCUGAGAACCUGGGAUCAAAUCCAGGCUUUGCAAUUUAAAACGUGUAUGAGGCUUUGUUGUUGCUGCUGCUUACUAGGACCUAAAUUCACGAAAGCUCCAACUCCCCGGGCUCACGGGGUUAGAAAUAAGGGAGUAACCAGAAAAGAGAACCAGUCAGAGGGAGAAUCAAGCUUCCCUGGCCCGUAGUCGGUGCGCCCUCUGGCGGAGGCAUCCCGCCAGCAAAUCUCUGGCCGAAGAAUAGUUCUGGGAGACACUUAGAUGGCACGUUGGGGGCUGGCAGAGACUGCUGGUUAGUAUCCUCUGCUAGAGUAGGGAAGUGAAGAGGAAAGACAUUUGUUCCCAGAACCUGGAGGAGGCCCCGGGAGAGAAAGUGAUGGCCACCACCGGGGGCAGAUCUCGGGAGAAGGUGUCGGGGAGAAGAUGCUGGUGACUUCAGCUCCACGGACCCAGAACAUGAGUCACGCAGGCAACUGGAUCAUAGGCCAAAAAGAGGCGGAGCCAGAAUGGAUCUUAGAGGUCAGAGAAUCAUAGAUUUAGAGCUGAAGAGGACCUCUGUGGUCAUUUAAUCCACUUCUUUUAUUUUACACGGGAAGAUGCUGUGAUUCAGGGAGGUGAAGCAAUUUUCUAAAGGUUACAUUACUUAGGAAGUGACAAGACUGAACCUGGGACCCAGAUCUCCAGGCUUUCAACUCAGUAUUCUUUUCAUUUCAUGUCGAAUAUGGAAGGGGGAAGUAGGGAACAUGUCCAUCCCCUAUUACCCAAAUCUGUCAAUUCCAGCCCUGGAAUCUGGACUUCUGCAAGUCAAGAAAUUGGGAACUUAGACGAAUCCAUUCAAUUUAGGAUCCUGAUGAAAACAAAUGUAUAAACACCCCACUACAUUUCCUGUUUCUUUAACUAUGCCAUUGGAAGUACAUGAAAAACGAUUUCCUAGGGGGGGCAGCUAGGUGGCGCAGUGAAUAGAGCACCGGCCCUGGAG
Long non-coding RNA from Dromiciops gliroides (monito del monte), 1156 nucleotides. RefSeq lists it as uncharacterized. Lineage: Eukaryota; Metazoa; Chordata; Mammalia; Microbiotheria; Microbiotheriidae. The transcript is spliced from 5 exons. The record is from RefSeq and is a predicted model, not a curated record.